This 4193-nucleotide long non-coding RNA is filed under the name Salmo salar (Atlantic salmon). Its description in RNAcentral is "lncRNA (ENSSSAG00000110170.1)". The stretch from base 2438 to 2493 matches the Rfam family "UnaL2 LINE 3' element". The record is from RNAcentral. Lineage: Eukaryota; Metazoa; Chordata; Actinopteri; Salmoniformes; Salmonidae.
GUAAACGUUUCCUUAUGGAAAAAUCUGAUAAUAAAUAGAGCAUCAUCAACAAAGUGCAAAGGUACAUAAAUACAAAUAAUACAUUGAUGAAUCCAUCAAUAAAUACAUAAACACGAAAUAGAUUAGAUUAACAAUUUUGUCUCGUCAUUCCAUUCACCAUAUAACUAUUAUCAAAUUGCUUCAAACCAAAACACAGAAAGAGUGGGAGAGUUGGUAGAUGUGUGACUUGACAUGCUUUUUAGUGCUCAAUGCUUUGUACUUUGCCAUCAACAUCUUUAAAAGAGCAGGGAUGGCAUGGAAAUAGUCCUUAAUGUCCUUUCUUGCCCCUACCACCUGGGCUGGAUAUUGUGGGUAGAGCUCUGGAAAGUACUCUGUGUGCAGGUGGGAUGGCGCUGGGAUAGACCCUCCCUGCUUGCAGUGUUUCUUCAGAAAUGUGGAGAACUUGGGCCUCUUCUCAAGAGGUAUAUCUGCUUUGAUUAAUGUUCUUGUGAAGUCCCAAGACGAACUCCUUUCUGAGGAGGGGUCUUUGCAAGACAGGAGGCCAGGGUCUGUGUUCUUGUUUGCACUGAAAAUGUUUCUGAAAGUAAAGAACAAUGUUACAUUUAGCAAAUUAAGUAUUCUCAGGUUGAGUUCAAUAGCAGCCCUAGAGUGAAUCUCACGCUUUGAAGCUAAGCACUCUCUCCUGAAGCGACACACACAGACCAUAAACCUGAUAGUAUGUCUCACACACACAUUUUAAAAACAAUGAUAGUUAACAAUUUUUUUAAACAAGAAAUUUUACAAAAAAUAAUGUCUGUGACUUGCUGCUUUUGUAAUUAAUUCCCAACAUGUCACUUGUUUUGAUAGCUCCAGACGGUCACUUUGGGUAACUUGUUAGCUACUAGCUAACAUUAACUCACCUCAACUAAAUUAGCUAACGAGCCUAAAUGGCAUGGAGUGGGAAGCUUGCCAGGCUAAAAUUAGCUAGUUACCUUCACACUCCUAUCUAAAUACUGUAGUAUGAUCUAAAAUAAGGAGCGGCGACAACGAGGUUCUAGCUCCAGCCUGUUUAUUCCCCUAACCCACGCAUGUCAUACAUAGGUACGGAUACCCCCAAGGGACAUCCUACUACAUCUUCCCCUCUCCCAUGAACAAGAACUCAACAUGCAUAACCACUGAAGCAUAACUGAAAUGCAAUUGGGAAACCAGUAUUAUUCUCUAACAUACUUCAUGUCCUGAAACAGUAUGAAAGCAUUAAAUCACACAGUAUGAACAUUAACUUAGGUACAGUCUCUUUUUGCUGGGUAUGGUCCCCAACAGUAUGUUUUCUCUUCACGUAACAUAGUCUUUCAGCCUGGUGGCUUCACAUCCCUUUUUGGGCGCGCUUGUGGCUCUGUGAGCAUUCUCUCUCCUUCACCCUCUUUUUGUGCGUUUUCUGUGGCCUCAGUCUGUGUGGCUGGUAGAUCUGGAAGAGCUCUGAGGUGUGUUUUGUUCCUUCGUACCUCUUCUGAGCCUGUGUCCACCACAUAGGAGCGUGGGGCAUCCGCUUUCCUCAGCACUAUUGCUGGUGUCUUUGAGUUUGUAAUCCACACACGUUGACCUUCGGUCAGCUCUGGCCUCUCCGUAGCACGGUGUCUUCGAUUAAAGUCUCCAGUUCGCAUUUGUUUCAGCCGUUUGUCCCUCUCAGCGAAGGCCUCCCUGUUAGGCCAUCGGGGUUUAAGCUGAGCCGGCAAGAGAGGCAAUGGGGAACGCAGCCUCCUGCCCAUCAGGAGCUCGGCAGGCGACAGCCCAUGAUGCAGUGGUGUAACUCUGUCAGCUAAAAGAGCCCUGUAUGGAUCCUUGUUCUUUUUCAGCAGUCCCUUGACUGUUUUCGCAGCUCUCUCUGUGAAAACAGAGAAAAGGAGCUUGCAGAGAACUGGGGAGCGUUAUCUGUAACCAGGACCUCAGCGACCCCUUGCCUGGAAAAAAAUUGACUUUAAUCCAUUGAUAACACCAGCUGAUGUGGUUAUGGGUGUCUUUGCUAUUUCAAUGUAUCUUGAGUAGUAAUCUACCACUAGCAGAUAAGUGUCAUUUUUCAAAUAGAACAUAUCUGUCCCAACCUUUUGCCAUGGCCGUUUUGGCAGCUCCUUUGCCAUCAUUGGCUCCGGAUGACAAGGUUGACAUUUUGUACAGACCUCACAUCCCCUCACAUUUGUACAGACCUCACAUCCCUGCACACCAGUCUGUGGGACUCUCUAUUUUAGACACCGCCCCAAUUUCUUCCAUCCUCCCCAACUCUUCCUUUACUCUGGCCAAUAAAGGGAUAGGCACACGGCGGGAGGUGGGUAAGGGCAUAGGGGACAGCAUCCUCUUUCAGGCGGAUUUUGUAGUCACCUUCUAUCCUUCCUAGACCAGAAAACACUUUGGGGAAUUUCUUUUUGAAAACCUCACCUGGGUCCUCCAGUUCGCUCACUCUCUCAAUGAGUUGCAAUGUAAGUCGCUCUGGAUAUAAGAGCGUCUGCUAAAUGACGUAAAUGCUUCAAUUGCUGGCAGCCCCAGCAACGGUCUGGCUGGAGAGUCAAUGACGAAGACAGGCUGGAUGCCACUUUUGUCUUUACUCUCCAGUUUAAUCACCAAGUGCCCUACCACUGGUAAAAUCGUAUUACUGGGCCCGUACAGUUUUGUGUUUGUAGAGAGCAAAGGGCCAUCUCUGCUAUAGCUAUACAGCCUAGUUGGGAUAGCUGUCACUGCUGCCCCAGUGUCUAGUUUAAAUGACACAACCUCCCCAUUGAGUGUAAUGUCUGAACGCCAGCCAGCAUUGUUUUCCUUUACUUCUCCCAGAAAGAUGCUGUCCUGCUGUACCCCCUCUGAGACCUCAUGCAUUUGCUUUAAUCGACAGACAGCUGGAAAGUGUCCUCUCCUGUGACAUUUCCUGCAUUCCGCAUCCUUUGCUGGGCAAUCUUUCCAUCUGUGGAAAGGGGAUUUCCCACAUUUGCGACAAACACUUGAACUAGCUACUGGUGCUGUUCUGUGUUCCCCUCCGUUUUUUUUUUAGCUCGGGAAUAAAAAUGCAUUUAUUUCCUCACUCUCUUCGCUCUGCACGGAGCUGCUAUCUUUUUACUGUCUCACUCUGCCUAACCUGGUUUACAGCUUUAGACAAGGUAAGCUGGGAAUCCAACUGUAACUUUUCAGAAAGUGAUAUAUUUCUUAUUGCCACUACAAUACGAUCUCGGAUCAGCUCUUCCCCGAGCGCGCCAAACGGACAAUGUUCUGCUAGUUUGUGAACAGCUGUGAUAAAACUGUCAGGUGGUUUCACCCUGCUCCUGUUUGCGCAUAUUAAACCUAGCUCUCUCAAAUAUAAUGUUGCGUCUCCCUACAAAAUGCGUUUCAAAACAGUCUUUAACGGCACUGUAGUUAAGUGUCUCUUCCUCAGUCAACGUUGAAGCAUUUAAUGUAUCCUCGGCUUCAUCACCCAUAGAGUAGAUCAGUGUAUUAACUUGAAAUGCCUCAUUUUUUUCACGUUUAAGCCUGAUGCUACCCUGUACCUUUCAAAGCGCCCGAUCCAUUUCGGCCAGUUUUGAAUGUCCAUACAAACAAAAUUCUCCGGGGGACUAAUGCGAAAUCCGUCAGCACUAGCCACUGGCCUGUCCGUGUUUGCGCCAGAGCCCGUUGAACUUGGGAGUCGCAAACCCUGAAAUCCCGCCAGCUUCUUCCUCUUGCAACAUGUUGCUUAGCAGUAACUUAGUCCUUGCUCGUUAGCUAGCAAAAUAAUGAUAUGCGCUGUUUUAUCUCCAACACUGCCCUCCCUGCUUUGAAACAGCCUGGAUGUAUGAUUUACUUGGUACGUCCUUAACGUUUAUGUGAAUUUUAAAACAACUGACACCAUUUAGUAUGAUCUAAAAAAUAAGGAGCGGCGACAACGAGGUUCUAGCUCCAGCCUGUUUAUUCCCCUAACCCACACAUGUCAUACAUAGGUACGGAUACCCCCAAGGGACAUCCAACUACAGAUACAGACAAACAUGAAAUUAUCAAGAAAAUAUGUGCUCCACCGCAGUUUCACGCCGUAUGUAGUCGAUUGAAUUCUGACGGUCUUUGCAGAGAAGUAUUUCUCCAUCCCUGUUCCUGGCUGUUAUUCUGGUCGCCUCAGCUCCUCUGCUGUAAAUCUGGGCAUUUUUUUUGCUGGAUAACGUUACUUCUGUCCUCAGACAGCUGCCAUUCAUUCACUGAUCUAUCUG